RNAcentral lists this transfer RNA (75 nucleotides) under Parcubacteria group bacterium. Its description in RNAcentral is "tRNA-Val". It matches the Rfam family "tRNA". Rfam says of the family: Transfer RNA (tRNA) molecules are approximately 80 nucleotides in length. The record is from RNAcentral.
GGGCGGCUAGCUCAGUCAGGUUAGAGCGUCACAUUGACAUUGUGAAGGUCACAGGUUCAAUUCCUGUGUCGCCCA